This is a long non-coding RNA of Lycium ferocissimum, 1280 nucleotides long. RefSeq lists it as uncharacterized. The transcript has 3 exons. NCBI's taxonomy places the organism in Eukaryota, Viridiplantae, Streptophyta, Magnoliopsida, Solanales, Solanaceae. The record is from RefSeq and is a predicted model, not a curated record.
AAUGAAUUUUGAUAAAGAACUGCAUGAUUAAUCGGAAAUAUGUAAUGCCUAUGUGCUGUCAUGGAUUCAAAUUGCUGUGGCAAAGGAACUGUACAGUACUGUAGUUUAUGGAGCAAAUACUCAUGGAGUUUUGAGAGAUUUGAAGGAUAGUUUUGAUAAGAGAAAUAUUUCGAGAAUCUAUAACUUGCAUCAGGAGAUAAUAAAUCUAAAAUAGGAAAUGUCAUCUGCAUCAUGCUACUACUCAAGGUUGCGAGAUUUGUGGGAUGAGUAUGAUGCUAUGGAUCCUACACUUUGUUGUCCUUGUCCAGAAUCUAGAGUGUUUGCAAAACAUGUGCAACAACAGAGAUUAGUGAAGUUUCUAAGUGGAUUGAGCGAGUCAUUUGCACAAGAUAAAGGGCACAUUAUGAUGAUUAUUCCUACACCAAUAGUGAAUGAAGCAUAUGGAAUGGUGAUACAAGAUGAGAGCCAAAGAGCCAUAGUAGCAAGCAAACAACCACUAGAGAUAGGAGCACAUGUAAUUACAUACAAUCCUAAUCACUGUUACAACACAGGGCAAAGUUCAAACUAUAAUUCUAGUCAGGGGCACAAUGUAGGACAAAGCUCAAAGAUGACAGUUAACACUGGCCAAGCAUACAAUGCAGGGAAUCAGAGGUAUAAUGCUGAUCAGAACUUCCCAAUGGCAUCCAAUAAUAGAUCAGUAUAUAAUGGUGGACAAAAUUCAAGGGGAAAUAAAAACUACAGACAAAAGAGGGAUCUAUUCUCUACUUUGCAAGACAAGCAACACCACACAUGACACAGAUGGAGGCUGGAGGUCAAAAUUUCCUAAGGCAAACAACACCAAACAUGGCACAGGUGGAGGCAAGCAUUCAAAGUGAGAACAAGCAAGGACCACAUGUUGGACCUAUCGGCUAGGGAAACUUCUUCACUGAGGAGCAAUAUCAGCAAAUCAUGCAUCUUCUAUCAAGGAGCAGCUCAGGAACACCUGACAUAGCAGCACAUUCUAAGGUCACAGGUAUACCUCUAUCACUACUAAGUCAAGUGGAUAAAGAUAGGUGGAACAUUGACACUGGUGCAACAAACCACAUGUUUCUAGCUUGGAACUCUUUACUGAUUUUGUGGAAUUGCGAAUGAGUGACACAAGGAGAGUGCAAUUGCCAACUGGUAAGACUAGUAGGAUCACUCACUUAGGAAUGAGGAUCCUUACAUAUACUAGAUGGUUUAUACAUUAAGAAUGUACUAUAUGUUCCCAAGUUUAAGUAUAAUUUGUUGUCAACGUCCAA